GUUAACCCGUGUGUAGAUUGUGUUCAGUACUGGGGACAGAUGUGUUUACCUUUGUGUUGAUGGUGUUCAGCACCAAAGACAGGUAUGUUAACCU
This 94-nucleotide microRNA precursor is filed under the name Branchiostoma floridae (Florida lancelet). Its description in RNAcentral is "mir-2060 microRNA precursor family". It matches the Rfam family "mir-2060 microRNA precursor family". Lineage: Eukaryota; Metazoa; Chordata; Leptocardii; Amphioxiformes; Branchiostomatidae. The record is from Rfam by way of RNAcentral.